This 501-nucleotide ribosomal RNA is filed under the name uncultured bacterium. RNAcentral's name for it is "partial 16S ribosomal RNA". It matches the Rfam family "Bacterial small subunit ribosomal RNA", at positions 30 to 523 of the family's 1533-position model. The record is from RNAcentral.
AUUGAACGCUGGCGGCAGGCUUAACACAUGCAAGUCGAGCGGGGGAAGGUAGCUUGCUACCGGACCUAGCGGCGGACGGGUGAGUAAUGCUUAGGAAUCUGCCUAUUAGUGGGGGACAACGUCUCGAAAGGGAUGCUAAUACUGCAUACGUCCUACGGGAGAAAGCAGGGGAUCUUCGGACCUUGCGCUAAUAGAUGAGCCUAAGUCGGAUUAGCUAGUUGGUGGGGUAAAGGCCUACCAAGGCGACGAUCUGUAGCGGAUCUGAGAGGAUGAUCCGCCACACUGGGACUGAGACACGGCCCAGACUCCUACGGGAGGCAGCAGUGGGGAAUAUUGGACAAUGGGGGGAACCCUGAUCCAGCCAUGCCGCGUGUGUGAAGAAGGCCUUAUGGUUGUAAUGCACUUUAAGCGAGGAGGAGGCUACUUUAGUUAAUACCUAAAGAUAGUGGACGUUACUCGCAGAAUAAGCACCGGCUAACUCUGUGCCAGCCGCCGCGGUAA